Molecule: long non-coding RNA, 688 nt
Organism: Varanus komodoensis (Komodo dragon)
Lineage: Eukaryota; Metazoa; Chordata; Lepidosauria; Squamata; Varanidae
Exons: 2
Source: RefSeq, a predicted model, not a curated record
GACACAGAGACAGCGGCUCGCAGCAGAACGGAUCGCUCACACGAGAGCCGUGUGGUUAGCGGGGCCAUCUGACAGACAGGCGUCUUCUCCGUUUUUCAUUUCGUCCCAUCUCGCCCUCCAGGGAGUGCCAGGUAGCUCACACGGUCCUGCUCCUCUCCACUGUAUCACACUUUGACCAGGUGAGCUAAGCGAGGCUGUGAACCUGUGAUCGGCUCAAAGUCACCAGGUAGCUUCACGGCGGAGCAGGAACUUGAACCCGGGUCUCCUGAAUUCCAGCUUGGAUUUGCAACGUAACUCCGGUGUAGUUCUCAGGGGCACAUCAGCCCUGCAGCUGCCCCAGCUGAAGGUUCUGCGAGAACAGAAACUGGCCGGGAGCAAACAGCCGCGCUGGAUUCCCCGGCCACGACGAGACCAGAUCUGUUUUCUAUUGACAUGCCAUUUAUAAUGUGCUGUCAUAUGAAAGGAGAGAUUACGAGUUGUCUCAACAAUUAACAUCAGCUUCUGGAUGUACACAAAUGUUUACAUUAUGUAACAUGGAUGCAUCGGUUAAGGGAUACAACCGCUGCGUUUUUGCUCUGUUGUCUAAAAGGAUGUGACCAAAUGAGGUUAUUGCUCCGUUAGGGGUAUUCCAGAACCCCUUCAUCUGAUGUUUCAGUAAGUAAACUAAAAUUAGUCUUCAGGUCUUUUA